GAUUCUCUUUCACCCUAUCUCUGUUUAAGUUUUGGUGAUUUCACUUUUUUCGUUCUGCCAACAUCACUAGUUUCGUAUACUUGGGGAGGAGGGGUGUACAUAUUUCUUUAUCAGUAUUCACUGUCCCAUCUUCCUCUAUCCUCUAUCCAUCCCCUUCCACUCGAACUCGAAAUAAGUACUUAAUUCGACUGAUUCUAAUCUGAUAUCACCCCAAAGGUUUUGAAAGAUGCUGGUACAUAAACUCAUCCAUUCCCUUCUCUGCAGCUCAUUCCCUUCCUGUCUGCAACCUCCCCAUCAUUUCCUCUUUCUCCCCAGAGCGAGGGUGGGGUGAAUGAGUCCCACUGUCGUUGGGGAGAAGGGUUCAUUCUGACGUUCAGUCUCACGGACCGGACGAGCUUCAACGCCAUUCCAGACAUCCACGCCUCUGUUGCUGCUGCUCGCCAGACGCCAAAUUUUUCCUGUGUCAUUGUCGCUAAUAAAAUUGAUUUGGGGCACCUAGCGGAGGUGCGCGAGGAGGAGGCGUUCGAGCUGGCGGGCGAGCUGGGCGCGUCGCUCUUCCUCACGUCGGCGUGCGACGGAGGGCCCGCCAUCCACGCCGCCUUCUCGGAGCUAUAUCGCGAUGUCGUGCGGCGUCGCUGGUCCAGACGACGUCGAUCCUCGGCCAAGACGGUCAUCGAGGGCUUCUACAAGAUGUUCUCGAGGUGAUAUCGCAUGAACACCGCCUGCACACUGGGUCAUUCAGAUCAGUGACUCACGAGACUAUCAUGCACGGUUGCACAUGAUCUAGGUCUCCUGGACAUAUUCAUGUACAAGCUCUCGCGCGGUCAUAUCUGUCACGUCCAACGACCCAUGUGACGAUGUGUCACGUCCGUCAAGCACAGAAAACAAGAUUUUAUCCUUGAAACUAUGGCGUCUUAUUACGCACAGAGACCUUAUCGCUGCAGGCCCUCGUGGAGCACGAACAUUCACGUCGCUGUAGGAAGACAUCCUUACCAUCUAGGGAUUUAUGACUCACCACUCCGGUCCGGCUGCAGAGAAACAUAGUGAUUGGACACAGAUUGCAAAUGUGAUGCCACUGCAGAGUUCUCUCAAAAUAUAAUUUGAAGUAGUGCUUCUUAUUUGAACUAGUGAGGUCAAAACACAUAGUCUUUAAGAAAUAUAUAAUGAAAAUUAUUAUUUUUUUCUAAUAAUAAUUAUUUGUUUUGGAAAUACCACAUAUGUAUUUAUCAUGUACAAUGAAGUUAGUUGACCAGUUAAGUAAUCUCAAUAUUUGUUUUAUAUGAAUGUCUUCCUAAUGUGAGUAAACCAGUUAAAAAAACGUGCUAACAAACCACAAGAUAUAUUUGCCCAAUAUUUAAUAAUUUGUAUGUAUUUAGCAUUUCUUCUGAAUAGUUUGCAAAUCAAGUGGGUUCACUUCCUAAAUAAGCAGACAGAACUCUGCAAGGUUAGUGAUUAAUACUUUGAACAUUUAUAUGAAGAUUUCCAAACAGUCAUUUAUAAAAAAAGCAGAUGUUAAUUUGCCAUGACAUGGAUUAAAGAAAUCAAAUGUUGCCUUUUGUGCAUAUAUUACAUCUAUAAUUAUUUUCUGAAUUAUAUUGCAUGUCAUCUUUUAUUUGUGUUUCUUCUGGCUUGACAUUCUUUUAGCAAUCCUAAUUUAACAGCUUUUUUAUUUAUUUAUUUAUUAAUUUUUACUUCUGAAAUCAUAUACAAGUAUAUACUUAUUGUUUGACACUCUUUUCUUGAAUAAUUAACAUUCUACAUUAGCUAUGUUUCACCAGACAACUAGCCAUAGUCUGGAGUACCUGAUUAUUGGAUGUUGACAGACAACAGAUUGUACCACCCUAAUAUAUAAAUUCAUGUCACAUAUUACAUAUAUCAUGAAUAACAAUACAAAUGACUGUCUCUUAACAGGUUGUUUGUACACAGGCUGUUUCCCUGUUCAUUAUAUUUUGGCAAAAUAUGUUUCCUCAUAAAAUGGAAUAAAGCAAUACCACAGUGACAGUCUUCUAACUUUCCUCCCAGAUGGAAAUUCAAAUCCACUCAAUCUAGGUAAUAUUUACAGUUGAGUGGGUGUGAAUCCAUGUUGGGAGCAAAGUUGUACAUAAUUCCUGAUUACACAUUCUUUUAAAUGUAUAUUACAGCAAACUGUUUAAUAGCUAGAUUAUGUCAGAUCUCAUUCUCUAUUUGGCAAAUGUAAUGUCAGACUGCAUUACUUAAUUAUUUGAUCCUGCAUAUGUAUAAGAAUGAAGGGUAUCAAAAUAUUUCAUAAUUUCAUUAUUGAGAUGUUGAAUGUCUUACUAGAAUGUAGUCUUUCAUGGUGAAUGUCUUACUAGACUGCCCCUGAGUAAUGUAUGUCACAAUACACUACAAGGUUGGUUCCUAAGUAUCACAUCAAACUGUCCCUGAGAGAUAGAUGUCAGGAAUGUAAAAUAAUGGAAGCUAAAACCACAUGAGAGAAACAUGAUUUAAGAAAAGACAUAUACCUAAGAGACUUCCGACCAAGUUCCCGUUAGUUACUACCCUAGUUUUGUAUACCUAUGGCAUCUGUUGAGCAUGUUUGAUGUUGUUUAUUGUGGCACCACCGCUUCUAGUCUGUAGGUGAAAUGCUAAGCUGAGAAAAAAAAUGCAGCAUGAUAUGUAACAUUUUUUGGAAUUAGUUCUCUGACUGCAGAUAGUUGAACUUCUCUUUCAGUGAUGAGAUGGCAUCUUAUUAGACCAUUUCAUCCAAAUAAACAGUAAUGAAUGCUUCCACAUAAGUAAAAAUCACAUUCAGUAUUUUAAAUCUAUUUAUCAACUGUGUGUGUGUAUUGGAUGUGUAUAUAUGAAUGCCUCUGUGUAUGCAUGCCCAUGUAUGUAAGAUGUGCAUGUUUUUCUGUGAAUGUGUUUGUGUUUGCAGGUUCAUGCAAUUCUGUGAAGAAUAUGAUAUUGACAGAAUAGUACUAUAAUAAAGUAAUAAAAUAUUA
This is a long non-coding RNA of Penaeus indicus, 2963 nucleotides long. RefSeq lists it as uncharacterized. NCBI's taxonomy places the organism in Eukaryota, Metazoa, Arthropoda, Malacostraca, Decapoda, Penaeidae. The transcript has 2 exons. The record is from RefSeq and is a predicted model, not a curated record.